Molecule: long non-coding RNA, 326 nt
Organism: Grus americana (Whooping crane)
Lineage: Eukaryota; Metazoa; Chordata; Aves; Gruiformes; Gruidae
Exons: 3
Source: RefSeq, a predicted model, not a curated record
GCGAAGAGAGAGGCCAGUCAUCCACUGCUGAAACACGUUGGAGAAGGACCAGUGGGUGGGAGGCAGCAUCAAGCAAGGGCAUGGAGAUGCAGCUUGGACGUGGACAUCGAUACAGCGUGUGCCUCAGAAAUAUAACCAAAAAGACUAGUGCUUCACUGCUAAUAAGAAAGCGGACAUGACUCACUACUCCUAAAGCCCUGCCUGCCUGCCAUCUCCUCCAAGGCUGCAGACGCCCGGCCUGCCACACUGUCGGCACUGCCACUGGCCUUGGCACGUGCACAGCAUCCUGCGCGUGCACAGCAUCCUGCGCGGGGGCACACGUCGGC